RNAcentral lists this ribosomal RNA (478 nucleotides) under uncultured bacterium. RNAcentral's name for it is "partial 16S ribosomal RNA". It matches the Rfam family "Bacterial small subunit ribosomal RNA", at positions 28 to 523 of the family's 1533-position model. The record is from RNAcentral.
GACGAACGCUGGCGGCGUGCUUAACACAUGCAAGUCGAACGGUAAGGCCCUUCGGGGUACACGAGUGGCGAACGGGUGAGUAACACGUGGGUGAUCUGCCCUGCACUUCGGGAUAAGACUGGGAAACUGGGUCUAAUACCGGAUAGGACCACUGCCUGCAUGGGUGGUGGUGGAAAGCUUUUGCGGUGUGGGAUGGGCGCGCGGCAUAUCAGCUUGUUGGUGGGGUGAUGGCCUACCAAGGCGACGACGGGUAGCCGGCGUGAGAGGGUGACCGGCCACACUGGGACUGAGAUACGGCCCAGACUCCUACGGGAGGCAGCAGUGGGGAAUAUUGCACAAUGGGCGCAAGCCUGAUGCAGCGACGCCGCGUGAGGGAUGACGGCCUUCGGGUUGUAAACCUCUUUCAGCACCGACGAAGCGCAAGUGACGGUAGGUGCAGAAGAAGGACCGGCCAACUACGUGCCAGCAGCCGCCGUAA